Molecule: ribosomal RNA, 497 nt
Filed under: uncultured bacterium
Lineage: Bacteria
Description: partial 16S ribosomal RNA
Rfam family: Bacterial small subunit ribosomal RNA
Source: RNAcentral
GAUGAACGCUGGCGGCGUGCCUAAUACAUGCAAGUCGAGCGAACGGACGAGAAGCUUGCUUCUCUGAUGUUAGCGGCGGACGGGUGAGUAACACGUGGAUAACCUACCUAUAAGACUGGGAUAACUUCGGGACACCGGCGCUAAUACCGGAUAAUAUUUUGAACCGCAUUGUUCAAAAGUGAAAGACGGUCUUGCUGUCACUUAUAGAUGGAUCCGCGCUGCAUUAGCUAGUUGGUACGGUAACGGCUUACCAAGGCAACGAUGCAUAGCCGACCUGAGAGGGUGAUCGGCCACACUGGAACUGAGACACGGUCCAGACUCCUACGGGAGGCAGCAGUAGGGAAUCUUCCGCAAUGGGCGAAAGCCUGACGGAGCAACGCCGCGUGAGUGAUGAAGGUCUUCGGAUCGUAAAACUCUGUUAUUAGGGAAGAACAUAUGUGUAAGUAACUGUGCACAUCUUGACGGUACCUAAUCAGAAAGCCACGGCUAACUACGUG